CUUGGUCAUUUAGAGGAAGUAAAAGUCGUAACAAGGUUUCCGUAGGUGAACCUGCGGAAGGAUCAUUAAAGAAAUAAACUUGACGGGUUGUAGCUGGCUCUAACUUGAGUAUGUGCACGCCUGUCAUUUUUAUCUUUCCACCAUGUGCACUUUGCGUAGGGUCUGAAAAUCAAGUAAAUUCUUGAUGUCUUGGGAACUGCUGUGCUUCACAGCCGGCUUUUCCUGUCUUCAGGCUCUAUGAUUUUUAUAUAUACACCAUGUAUGUUAAAGAACGCAUUUACAGGCUUGCAAAAGCCUAUAAACUUUAUACAACUUUCAACAACGGAUCUCUUGGUUCUGGCAUCGAUGAAGAACGCAGCGAAAUGCGAUAAGUAAUGUGAAUUGCAGAAUUCAGUGAAUCAUCGAAUCUUUGAACGCACAUCGCGCCCUUUGGCAUUCCGAGGGGCAUGCCUGUUCGAGCGUCAUUACACCACUCAAGCCCGGCUUGGUAUUGGGCGGCGGGGCUCCCCCGCGCCUUAAUUUCACCGGCUGGACAACCCGUAUCUCAGCGUUGUGGCAUCAAAUUCGCUGGCGAGAAGGGUGGCCCGUGCCGUUAAAAUUUCCAUCAAGGUUGACCUCGGAUCAGGUAGGGAUACCCGCUGAACUUAAGCAUAUCAAUAAGCGGAGGAAAAGAAACCAACAGGGAUUGCCCUAGUAACGGCGAGUGAAGCGGCAACAGCUCAAAUUUGAAAUCUGGCGCAAGCCCGAGUUGUAAUUUGUAGAGGAUGCUUCGGGGCAGCGGCCGGUCUAAGUUCCUUGGAACAGGACGUCAAAGAGGGUGAGAGUCCCGUACGUGACCGGCUGGCACCCCAUCCGUAGCUCCUUCGACGAGUCGAGUUGUUUGGGAAU
RNAcentral lists this small RNA (888 nucleotides) under uncultured Agaricales. Its description in RNAcentral is "eukaryotic LSU rRNA". The stretch from base 612 to 888 matches the Rfam family "Eukaryotic large subunit ribosomal RNA", at positions 1 to 281 of the family's 3401-position model. Lineage: Eukaryota; Fungi; Basidiomycota; Agaricomycetes; Agaricales. The record is from RNAcentral.